RNAcentral lists this ribosomal RNA (489 nucleotides) under uncultured bacterium. RNAcentral describes it as "partial 16S ribosomal RNA". It matches the Rfam family "Bacterial small subunit ribosomal RNA", at positions 28 to 507 of the family's 1533-position model. The record is from RNAcentral.
GAUGAACGCUAGCGGCAGGCUUAAUACAUGCAAGUCGAGGGGCAGCAGGACUGUAGCAAUACAGUUGCUGGCGACCGGCAAACGGGUGCGGAACACGUACGCAACCUACCCAAAACUGGGGGAUAGCCCGGGGAAACCCGGAUUAAUACCUCGUAACCUUUUUAAGUGGCAUCACUUGAUAAGUAUAGCUCCGGCGGUUUUGGAUGGGCGUGCGCCUGAUUAGGUAGUUGGUGCGGGUAACGGCCCACCAAGCCUGCGAUCAGUAACUGGUGUGAGAGCACGACCAGUCACACGGGCACGGAGACACGGGCCCGACUCCUACGGGAGGCAGCAGUAAGGAAUAUUGGUCAAUGGACGCAAGUCUGAACCAGCCAUGCCGCGUGAAGGAUGAAGGUCCUCUGGAUUGUAAACCUCUUUUAUGGGGGACGAAACCCGGAUAUUCUUAUCCGAUUGACGGUACCUCAGGAAUAAGCACCGGCUAACUCCGUG